This is a long non-coding RNA of Rana temporaria (common frog), 424 nucleotides long. RefSeq lists it as uncharacterized. The transcript has 4 exons. The record is from RefSeq and is a predicted model, not a curated record. Lineage: Eukaryota; Metazoa; Chordata; Amphibia; Anura; Ranidae.
CCAACAGACCACAUUGUCAUCUCACUUUAUCCUUCCUGAUCAGAUCCGACAUCAGCUCUAUCAGGAAAGAAAAUGAUGAAACUCGUCGCUGUACUUUUCCUCUUCUCAUUGGCCCUGCAAUCAUUCAGUGUCAAUGGAGAACAGUGUGGAGCAAAUGAAGUCUAUUCUAAAUGUCGAUCCCCCUGUGAGCCGACCUGCAAUGAAGGUCGUCGUCCAUGCCCUAUGAUCUGUCUUUAUGGGUGCGUCUGCAAACAGCCAUACGUCCGCCGAUCAAGCGCUGAUAACACCUGCGUUCUGCCAAGCGAUUGCUAGAAAUAAAACAUGAACAACAUGGCGCACAUUUCAGGGGAAGGAGAUGUGAAAUGGAAUUCAGAAGCAUUUUACCGUGUCAUGUGUUUAUUUUUAAUAAAAAUAAAUAAAUAAA